This 3062-nucleotide long non-coding RNA is filed under the name Sus scrofa (pig). RNAcentral describes it as "lncRNA (ENSSSCG00000058463.1)". Lineage: Eukaryota; Metazoa; Chordata; Mammalia; Artiodactyla; Suidae. The record is from RNAcentral.
UUUUUUUUUUUUUUUUUUUUUUUUUUUUUUUUUUUGAGGGCACUCACUGAAGGGGAGGGCAGAGGAAAAAAACAAAAGCAAAAAACACACCAAAAAAAAAAAAAAAAAAAAACUGGCUACUUUUCAAGUUAUUUUUUUUCACUUCUUAAGAUUUUACUGAAGAGUAGUUGAUUUGCAAUGUUAUAAUUUCUGCUGUAGAACAAAGUGAUUCAGUUAUACACAUACACAUGUAACCAUCCUUUUUCAGAUUCUUUUCCCAUACAGUUAUCACAGAAUAUUGAGUAGAGUCCCCUAUGCUAUAUAGCAGGGGCCCACUGACCAUCCAUUCCAUAUGCAUUAAUGCCACUGGAUCUUAAAAAAAAAUAUUUCUGGUCUUUUAUGAAGGUAUUGUGUCUUUCUUUGUACCAACAGCAUCAGGUGGCAUUUCCUGAUGGAUGCCAAUAAGUAUUUGUUGAAUUAUUGAGUUCCAGAAACAUUAACUAGAAAAGGCUGUCAGUACCAAUUGUGAGCUCACAAAUGGUUUAGAAUGGGGAGAAUGAGAUCGGUGGAAUUUAAUAUAAAUUGUCAAGGAUGAAAAUACAAACAUGGCACAGCUAGAUGCCCCUGAUGUCUUCCCCUCGUGCCCUCUUCAUCUCUAAGUGGAGGCAGAGGCAAAUAGGAAAAAAAUGGUGAUAAAAGGCAGGAAGACUUAAGAGUAUCUCUCCACUUAGGUCUUUGAUUUUUUUUUCCAUCAUUAUUUUGUAAAUUUUAGCACGCAGAUUCUGUACAUGUUCUGUUCAAUUUAUACCUGAGCAUUUCAUUUUUUAAAAAUAUGUAUUUUCUUAAAAUGAGUAGAGGAAAAGUAGUCCUUUAGAAAGGAAUCCUGGAGGUGUGUGGUGCAAAAUGCUUAGAGAGCCCUCUGGCUCUGACACUAAAUAGCUGUAUGAUGUUUCCUCAUUUAUAAAAAAAGCAGGGCUGGUGAGAGACUCCAGUGCAUUAAGUCUUUGAAACACUUUUUGGUCUGUAGGGUGCCAUGUUACAUAAUGGAAAAGACCAUUGGCCUUUCCCUGAGUAGAUGUUUUUCUUCAUCACUAGGUUUCAUAUAUCUUGUGCACAGCGCUGAUCAUAACACCCUCCUAACUGAGUAAGUAAUGAUUGAACGGAACAGAAAAUUUUCCUUUUGGGUCAGAGAAGGAUCUGACAUCUCUAUUCUUUCCAUAGGAACCACUUUAAUUUUCUUCUUCUACUGUAAGGUAGCUCGAGUAUAAAUCGCUUAGCUGAGCUAAUUGGUUUGCUUCUGACCCUUCUGAUUUUCUCUUCAUCUCUACUAAUCCUAGGGACCCAUUGUCCUAAAUAUUAACACAUUACGUCAAAACACGUAGUGUGGGAAUUCCCGUCGUGGCGCAGUGGUUACCGAUUCCGACUAGGAACCAUGAGGUUGCGGGUUCCAUCCCUGGCCUUGCUCAGUGGGUUAAUGAUCCGGCGUUGCCGUGAGCUGUGGUGUAGGUUGCAGACGUGGCUGGGAUCCAGCGUUGCUGUGGCUCUGGCGUAGGCUGGUGGCUACAGCUCCUAUUCGACCCCUAGCCUGGGAACCUCCAUAUGCUGCGAGAGCGGCCCAAGAAAAUGGCAAAAAGACAAAACAAACAAACAAACAAACAAAACACCUAGUGUGUGUAACAGCUUCCUAUUGCACAAAUGGGGCUAUACAUGAGCUUCACAAACAAAACCCCCAUGAUAUAAAUCUGGUGUGUAUAGUUAGUUCCUUUAAGCUCUUUAGAGUGAAAUUGGAAUGCUGAUUAAGUGGUAAACACACACAGGAACAUGUACAUGUAGGUGUAAGACCAUCACACAGCUGGUAAACAAAACCCAGGAAAGUGUGCUGUGCCUUUCCUUGCUUCUCCAGCUGCUCCUUGUGGCCAACAACUGAACUUUUACCAUAAUUGGCAAAUAAUUACCUUGGGAUGUGUAGCUGAAACAUAUCCGAUUUCAAAAGUCAGUACCAAUCUGCUUCUGAAAUAUGUUUAUGUCCUCAUGUAGUACCUGCAGCUUCUGGAAGUUUGGAGCACAUGGCCAGAAUUAGGCAAUUCAUCCAUGGUCUGAAUACAUACAGGCCAGACUGAUAAUUAUUUGAAUUAAUUUAUACAGAUAACAGUGGUAGACUCUAUACCCCCUUAUAGCUCAUGCACUUUGCAAAUUGUUAAGAUCGAUCACCUUCUCUUUUGGUGAAAAUAUAGGAACUUCCUUCUUUAGUUUGUCCUUUGUUUACAAGGACACUACACAGGAGCUAUCAUUUAUGAAGACAAUCCAAUUGAAGUGACAUCCCCUCUUUGUAAUUGUUUUCUCAACUGUAGUUUUCCCUGGACUCUUUGGCUCCUUCUUUCUCUACUUUGCUGUGGAUGCAUCAUUUUCAAGUGUGCCCAUACUCCAUCCCAACAGAAUUUUGGCUUCUGGCCAUUUCAUCCAGCUGCUCUGUAUGGAAAGAGUUAUUACUCCUUUUUCCCUUCAUUAAGUUGGCAAGAAAUUAAAUCUAUGAAUGCAGCAAUAAUGUUCCUAUAGUGUUUCUUAAAAGCAUAUGAACUAUAAUGUAAAUUGAAGCUCCAGAAUUAAACAUCCUGGAGAUAAUGUUUAGAAGGACUAUAAUAGCCUCCUUUGCUCUAUGUAACUGUGGUGAUUGCAAAGGCCCCACGUGGAAGUUCAUCAAGGCCAGCACUAUUUGGUAUAAUACUUUACAUGUCACAUUCCAAAUUGUUAACUGACCUACUUGUUAUUAUCGUUCCUCUUUGAAAAUUUAAACAGAGAUUUCAUGCAGGUUUACAUUGUAAUUGGGCUUAAAAAAAAAAAAAAAAAAAAAAAGACCAAAUGCCCUUUUUUUCUCCUGCUUUUCCUUCUUACUGGGUGCUGUGAAAGAGUUCCCAAACUCCUGUUUGUUCCUUGUGAUGCCAGCUCUGUGACCUGCCAUCUGGUGUCACAUAUUUCUUUCUAAAGAUGACUUACAGAGCUUCUAUGCUAUUAGGCCCUUGAAAAUAAUACUCAUGAACUUCUCAGAUGUCUCAAUUGCUCUGGGCCUGCUUCCCAGGUGUUUU